RNAcentral lists this transfer RNA (64 nucleotides) under marine eukaryotic metagenome. It matches the Rfam family "tRNA", at positions 5 to 66 of the family's 71-position model. From Rfam's summary of the family: Transfer RNA (tRNA) molecules are approximately 80 nucleotides in length. Their secondary structure includes four short double-helical elements and three loops (D, anti-codon, and T loops). The record is from RNAcentral.
CCAUAGCUCAGUUGGUAGAGCCACUGAUUUGUAAUCAGUAGGUCGGCGGUUCAAGUCCGUCUGG